Molecule: long non-coding RNA, 231 nt
Filed under: Nicotiana benthamiana
Lineage: Eukaryota; Viridiplantae; Streptophyta; Magnoliopsida; Solanales; Solanaceae
Description: long non-coding RNA (NBEN_LNC008679)
Source: RNAcentral
GCGUCAUUUUAAUACCCUUAAAGAGGAAGAUGGACCGUUCACUAUCCCAAAACAUAAUAGCAGCUUCCACAAUCUUGUUAUCUAGCUUAACUUCCGGAAGUGAAGGAAGAUUUCCUAAGUGCUUGCGGACAAGAACCUGAUCACUACCAUGCAAAUCAUCCCACCAGCUUAGCAACUUUGGAUGAAUGUUUGAUAUCAUUCUGAAUCUGGGAACCUCGUGCCUCAUUUUCC